Long non-coding RNA from Oncorhynchus keta (chum salmon), 712 nucleotides. RefSeq lists it as uncharacterized. NCBI's taxonomy places the organism in Eukaryota, Metazoa, Chordata, Actinopteri, Salmoniformes, Salmonidae. The record is from RefSeq and is a predicted model, not a curated record. The transcript is spliced from 4 exons.
GGAGAGUUUGAGAGUGAUAUAGAGGUUGAGAGAUGGCAGGGAGAGUUUGAGAGUGAUAUAGAGGUUGAGAGAUGGCAGGGAGAGUUUGAGAGUGAUAUAGAGGUUGAGAGAUGGCAGGGAGAGUUUGAGAGUGAUAUAGAGGUUGAGAGAUGGCAGGGAGAGUUUGAGAGUGAUAUAGAGGUUGAGAGAUGGCAGGGAGAGUUUGAGAGUGAUAUAGAGGUUGAGAGAUGGCAGGGAGAGUUUGAGAGUGAUAUAGAGGUUGAGAGAUGGCAGGGAGAGUUUGAGAGUGAUAUAGAGGUUGAGAGAUGGCAGGGAGAGUUUGAGAGUGAUAUAGAGGUUGAGAGAUGGCAGGGAGAGUUUGAGAGUGAUAUAGAGGUUGAGAGAUGGCAGGGAGAGUUUGAGAGUGAUAUAGAGGUUGAGAGAUGGCAGGGAGAGUUUGAGAGUGAUAUAGAGGUUGAGAGAUGGCAGGGAGAGUUUGAGAGUGAUAUAGAGGUUGAGAGAUGGCAGGGAGAGUUUGAGAGUGAUAUAGAGGUUGAGAGAUGGCAGGGAGAGUUUGAGAGUGAUAUAGAGGUUGAGAGAUGGCAGGGAGAGUUUGAGAGUGAUAUAGAGGUUGAGAGAUGGCAGGGAGAGUUUGAGAGUGAUAUAGAGGUUGAGAGAUGGCAGGGAGAGUUUGAGAGUGAUAUAGAGGUUGAGAGAUGGCAGGGAGAGUUUG